AUACGUAGGUGGCAAGCGUUGUCCGGAAUUAUUGGGCGUAAAGCGCAUGUAGGCGGUGCCUUAAGUCUGUCGUGAAACUGCGGGGCCUAACCCCGUAUGGCGAUGGAAACUGUGGCACUUGAGUGCAGGAGAGGAAAGGGGAACUCCCAGUGUAGCGGUGAGAUGCGUAGAUAUUGGGAAGAACACCGGUGGCGAAGGCGCCUUUCUGGACUGUGUCUGACGCUGGGAUGCGAAAGCCAGGGUAGCGAACGGGAUUAGAUACCCCGGUAGUCCUGGCCGUAAACGAUGGGUACUAGGUGUGGGAGGUAUCGACCCCUUCCGUGCCGGAGUUAACGCAAUAAGUACCCCGCCUGGGGAGUACGGCCGCAAGGCUUAAACUCAAAUGAAUUGACGGGG
This 396-nucleotide ribosomal RNA is filed under the name uncultured bacterium. Its description in RNAcentral is "partial 16S ribosomal RNA". It matches the Rfam family "Bacterial small subunit ribosomal RNA", at positions 523 to 918 of the family's 1533-position model. The record is from RNAcentral.